RNAcentral lists this long non-coding RNA (472 nucleotides) under Macaca mulatta (Rhesus monkey). Its description in RNAcentral is "lncRNA (ENSMMUG00000038410.2)". Lineage: Eukaryota; Metazoa; Chordata; Mammalia; Primates; Cercopithecidae. The record is from RNAcentral.
UGAUGGUAUUGUGUACAUUUUUAUAUAUUCUAUUGUAACUAUUUUAUUUGCUUCUCUAGGCUUUUCACUGAAAAGAAUGCCAAAUGCCUCUCGAAGUAAUAAAGAGACUGAACUAAUCUAAAAUUCUGUUUGAAACUCUCAAGUCACUUGGAACCAAUAUAUGUUAUCAUUAUCCCAUUCCAGUCUAUCCUCAUUCCUGUCCAUCCUCAAUUACCAAUAGACCAAAAAUUAUCAUCUUGUAUUGAAGCUUGAACAGUUAAGAAGGAAAAGGGUUAUAUCACAAGCGGCUUACAAUAAAUACUGUAUCUUGUCUACUUUUGAGGCUAAGGAUCAGCUUCCAUAAUGACUUACUGGAAUACUGUUUGAGGAUCAUACCCUACGUAAUGAUGGAACAUCAAGCAGAAUAUUAUCCUAUCCUAAACAUGGAUGUAUGAAUGACUCUCUGAAGUAGACCUAUUCCACUGGUCUUGAU